GGGCAGGUUAAGUUACAGAACAGCUGAUGCGGUGCUGUGUUGUCGUUCCCCCUGCCCAAAGAAACCUGUUUCCUACUAUCCCUGUCUGUCUGCAUCUCCCCAGCAGGCAGGGACGCUUGGUCUCAAACAC
Small nucleolar RNA from Chanos chanos (milkfish), 130 nucleotides. RefSeq annotates it as small nucleolar RNA SNORA63. Lineage: Eukaryota; Metazoa; Chordata; Actinopteri; Gonorynchiformes; Chanidae. The record is from RefSeq and is a predicted model, not a curated record. The transcript has a single exon.